CACAAUUUCCUAUCGUCCUCCUAUUAUUUUUAUUUUUAUAUUUUUUCAUCUUCACCCAACCUCAUCUCCAUUUUCACGCGCCAUUACACAGACAACCAUCUCCUCAUCCAUUUUCACACGUAAAAGAGCUAGCCAAUAUUUUUAUCCAAAAAUUUAGGAAAAUCGAAUGUCUAAAGCAUCACCUCAGGCGUGGUUGAAGCAAAAGAAAAACAACUGUCCGUGAAGCUAAUUGCUCCAACAACGGUUGCGGCUCAAAUUCCGGUCCACCAAGUUUUGUCUCCGCGCAGCGUGGAGCUCCGUGAGGUCUCCGAGCAGUUGCCUCCACGGAGCGCGGAUCUUGACUUCGACCCGGAAUGUAAUCUUUGGCGUAUUGUUCUGCUGGUGUUCCUCCUACUGCCGGCCCUAGGGCCUCAAAAAAAAAAGGUGAAAUUUUUUUUAUAUUGGAAUUGAUCUCUCGCAGAAUUGAUCGCAUCUUCCUCUCCUAAUCAAUCACCUCUUCUUUGUUCUUCCAGUCAAUCUCAAACAAUCGAGGCGGUGAUAGGGCAGGCUCGCCAUUUUUAUUUGCCAGGAGUAAGAUCAAUUGAGCAAGUAGGAAUGACAGGGGAUAGCCCAAUUUUUUAUCUCCCAACUGUGUUUCUGCUUCUCCUUAUAGCUUAUUCACUUCUCAUUUUGUGUUGAUUUUACUUUUUUACUGCUUCAUAUUUGUACACUUCUAAUAAUGUUUGGUGUGCUAGCUAAUUAUUUUCAACAAAUUACAAAUUACACUUAUAAUGAAUGUUUGAAUGGGACAAGCGAAUCAUGAAGUAAAGUUGUUCGAUUAAAUGCUUCAGUAAGGCCAUUGUUUAUUUAGUUUCCAGCUGGAGGGUUCUACAUGGCGUGGCUAAUCAUCAUCGUAUUAUUAAUUGUACUUUGGGUGCAAAUUUUGUUGUGGAUUCCAAAGCUGCAUUCUUAAAUGAUGGUAAUGAAUCAUGUUUGUGUAUAUCUCUGUAAAUAUGGUUAGGGAUGUUUUAAAUAAGUUUUUUCAAGAUUAUUUUGUGUUGUUUGCUGCUAGGAAUGGUUUUCCGAUAGAGAAACGUGUUGCUGGUUAUUGCGCACCCUGAUGAUGAGUCUGGGUAGGUUUGAAUUCCAAAAUUUUAUGUUUUACUCCGGUCUGCAUUAAUAAUAGAGCUUUGCUGCCUGGGUUUAUGAAUAUCAAAGACCUACUUUAUUUUAUUAAGUUAUUUAUUUUGUUUCUUGGGAUUUGUACUUUGCUGCAGUGGUGAAUUCUCAUUAAAACAAUAGUAAUGUAUGAUGAAUUCCAGUUAACUUAGAGUGAUAUUGGAAACUGAAGUUAUAUUGUGUAGCACUUCCAAGGUUUUCAAAUAUAGCUGUGGUUUUAACUUAAAUAUUUAAGUAUUUCUACUUGUUAUAAAUUUAAAAAGAAAAAAAUUAAGGCCUCAUAAUAAUUAAUCGCUUAGGCCUCAAAAUUCUCAGGGCCGACCCUGCUUCUACACUUCAUUCUCCAAUUCACAAAGUUUCCGCAAUCACUUACUCUAUUCCACAGUUAAAGUUUAUUUCUUAUAUUUUUAUCUAUCAUUUUGAGGGGUUGAGAUUGUGGGUUUUGGUUUUUUUGUGAGAUUGAUUGAAUCGAACACGUUUGUAAACUAAUGCCUCUAUCUUUGUUUGUGGAAAAAAAAAGAAGAAUGUUAUUUUGGGAAUGGAACUUCACAAAUUGGGAUUUUGUUCAUGCCAAGCAAUUUAUUUCCUUACUUUGCAUCUAUAUAGAAUUUUCAAUUUCCCUGUAUAUUAAUGGAAUAGGUGUAUGCUUAUCAGGAAGAGACACGCAAGUAACGUGCGAGGAAUUUGAUAUCUUUUGGUAAAACCAUUGCUUUGUAAAGGGUUCAUCCCUUGCUAAAUCUGUGUGGGUUUAGGGGUUUUCCUUUUAAAAGGCGUGUUAAUGCUUUUGGUUUUUUGACAGUUGGAAGAUUGGUUCUUCUCAAGUUCAAUCGAAACUCAUUUGUUUUCAUCUAACAAAUCAUUCUUUGAGAGACCAUAGCAAAUAUCGAUUUUGAUACUUUGCGACAAAACAUCUUCCUCAAUAAAAGCACUCAACAAGUAUAUUGUUUUCUCAAUAUUGCCUUUGGUCUUAGUUCUUAAUGCUAAAUAAAGGGCUCAUGGAGAGUUAAUGAGUUGAGUUUGUGGCCAAAAUUGAUGAAAUGGAACUAAUAUCCAAUCGCAAUCUUUUAUGGUUGAAUAUUGACGUCUUGCUAAAAUAGACUUUCUUAAGAACUAGCAAGUAGGAAAAGGACAAGAAAUUAGUGUGAGAAUACUCAAUUUCCUAAAUCUUCCAUUUGAACCUGACUUGAUUAUUAGAAGUUUCUUGUCAUCCUCUCAUUAGCCCGUCAGCCCUAACAACGAAGAGGAAAAGGAAAACAGAACAACAGUUCUAUUGUUUGGUACAUGCUAUGUUCUUGGUUCUAUUUCAUAGCAUUUGAUAGUGCCAUUUUAGUUAAGUUUUACAUGAUGACAUUAGUCACAGAUAUUGUUUCAUCUUAAUUUGAGGCAACCAAAGCUCAAGUAGCAAUUGAAGACGAGCCAUUUUUUGGAUGAAAAUUAUUUUUGAAUGAGAGAAAAAUACAAAAUUGGAAUUACAGUUUCAAUUUUUCAUCUAUAAACUCUUAUUGUUAUGCUUCAAAAAUCUUGUGUCCAGUUUUGGUUUCUAUAUUUGAUCCGAAAGUUUUACCAAUAAUAAUAGCUAUGAUUGUAAUUAUUAUUAGCAUAAUGAUGUUGAUAUUCAUAGAUAAGAUCUAAGAUUCUUGUCAUCAAUUGGAAAGUUAAGGAUUUUACCAACUUUGUGAGUAUUUGUAAUCUCUAUUUCAUCUUCUGGUACAGGUAAUUGAUAUUGUUGUUAUUUUCACUUCUCAUGAUAACAAUCUCAAGCAACACUCUAUUCCAUUUUAGGUAUAGUUCAGAGCUUAAUGUUCUCUAGAUUCAAGUGCCCGGGUAACACUGAUCAAGGAUAAGAAGAAAUAUGGUAUGANNN
This 3022-nucleotide long non-coding RNA is filed under the name Olea europaea (common olive). Its description in RNAcentral is "long non-coding RNA (OEUR_LNC006443)". The record is from RNAcentral. Lineage: Eukaryota; Viridiplantae; Streptophyta; Magnoliopsida; Lamiales; Oleaceae.